GCUUUGGUAGCUUAAUGGUUAAAGCCUUAUAAUGUCACUAUAAGAGAUGUCAGUUCGAGUCUGAUGCAAAGCG
This 73-nucleotide transfer RNA is filed under the name Drosophila guanche. RNAcentral's name for it is "tRNA.Asp". It matches the Rfam family "tRNA". Rfam says of the family: Transfer RNA (tRNA) molecules are approximately 80 nucleotides in length. Their secondary structure includes four short double-helical elements and three loops (D, anti-codon, and T loops). Further hydrogen bonds mediate the characteristic L-shaped molecular structure. tRNAs have two regions of fundamental functional importance: the anti-codon, which is responsible for specific mRNA codon recognition, and the 3' end, to which the tRNAs corresponding amino acid is attached (by aminoacyl-tRNA synthetases). tRNAs cope with the degeneracy of the genetic code in two manners: having more than one tRNA (with a specific anti-codon) for a particular amino acid; and 'wobble' base-pairing, i.e. permitting non-standard base-pairing at the 3rd anti-codon position. Lineage: Eukaryota; Metazoa; Arthropoda; Insecta; Diptera; Drosophilidae. The record is from RNAcentral.